UACACUGGAGGAACUUGGUGUGGAGGGGGAAGUUUUUUUGACUAAUAAAAAACGCAUCCCUUUGAGGCGGUAUACUACGCAACCAAUGGCGCCACCACUUUCAUGAAAAAAGCAUUAGAGGAUUUCUCCAUGUCAGUAAUAGCCCAAGAGGAAACCCAACAUCGAAGCGAGAAACCAGCUGUGAAAAAGUGUCACGAUUUCCUUAUGGCUGUCCAGACCCUGUUGAAUACAAAAUACACUUGGUGUAUGCAACAAUUGAAGACAUUAGAAGACAUGUUUGUCCAAUCCCUUUGGAAUAGGCUAGUGCAUCGAAUCCUCCAGCUCCACUAGGCCUACACGUUCCCGCUGCACCACUGAAGUCUCCGGCUUCUGCACCACUGAAGUUGUCUCUGACUCCUGCACCACUGAAUUUGUCUCUUGCUGGACCAUCCCCUGCCUCUGCGCCAAAGUGGGCACCAGUCUCAAACCCCCAACAAAUGCAAAAGGGCAACUUGAAGACAUUUGCAUCCACAUCUGAAGCACCCCAGUGGUUUGAGCAGCAUGUCACUGAGCAGAGGAGGCAGAUGUCGGAACUCAUGGUCCUGCAAAAACAAGCAAUGGAAGUGGCAAGUGAAAGGAAUGACAUCUUAAAACAAUUUUCUUUAACGAAGAAAAAAUAGGAACUUAUUCCCACAUUCUGCUGAUGGCUUAGGUUCUAUUUUGUUUGUUUACUGGCAUGAUUCAUGGCAUGAUGUAGUCUA
This is a long non-coding RNA of Anguilla anguilla (European eel), 740 nucleotides long. RefSeq lists it as uncharacterized. The record is from RefSeq and is a predicted model, not a curated record. NCBI's taxonomy places the organism in Eukaryota, Metazoa, Chordata, Actinopteri, Anguilliformes, Anguillidae. The transcript has 5 exons.